UUACACAUGCAAGUCGAGGGGUAACAGAGAAAAGCUUGCUUUUUUGCUGACGACCGGCGCACGGGUGCGUAACGCGUAUGCAAUCUACCUUUUGCUAAGGGAUAGCCCAGAGAAAUUUGGAUUAAUACCUUAUAGUAUGAUGACUUGGCAUCAAGAUAUCAUUAAAGGUUACGGCAAAAGAUGAGCAUGCGUUCUAUUAGCUAGUUGGUAUGGUAACGGCAUACCAAGGCAACGAUAGAUAGGGGUCCUGAGAGGGAGAUCCCCCACACUGGUACUGAGACACGGACCAGACUCCUACGGGAGGCAGCAGUGAGGAAUAUUGGACAAUGGAGGCAACUCUGAUCCAGCCAUGCCGCGUGCAGGAAGACUGCCCUAUGGGUUGUAAACUGCUUUUAUACAGGAAGAAACACCUCUACGUGUAGAGAUUUGACGGUACUGUAAGAAUAAGGAUCGGCUAACUCCGUGCCAGCAGCCGCGGUAAUACGGAGGAUCCAAGCGUUAUCCGGAAUCAUUGGGUUUAAAGGGUCCGUAGGUGGAUAAUUAAGUCAGAGGUGAAAUCCUGCAGCUUAACUGUAGAAU
This 579-nucleotide ribosomal RNA is filed under the name uncultured bacterium. Its description in RNAcentral is "bacterial SSU rRNA". It matches the Rfam family "Bacterial small subunit ribosomal RNA", at positions 49 to 621 of the family's 1533-position model. The record is from RNAcentral.